This 706-nucleotide ribosomal RNA is filed under the name uncultured prokaryote. RNAcentral's name for it is "bacterial SSU rRNA". It matches the Rfam family "Bacterial small subunit ribosomal RNA", at positions 28 to 752 of the family's 1533-position model. The record is from RNAcentral.
GAUGAACGCUGACAGAAUGCUUAACACAUGCAAGUCGAUUCGAUUUACCUUCGGGUAUUGAGGAUGGCGGACGGGUGAGUAACGCGUAAGGAACUUGCCUCUUGGUCUGGGACAACUGUUGGAAACGACAGCUAAUACCGGAUAUUAUGAGAUUCUCGCAUGGGAAACUUAUGAAAGCUAUAUGCGCCAAGAGAGAGCCUUGCGUUCCAUUAGCUAGUUGGUGGGGUAACGGCCCACCAAGGCGACGAUGGAUAGCCGGCCUGAGAGGGUGAACGGCCACAAGGGGACUGAGACACGGCCCUUACUCCUACGGGAGGCAGCAGUGGGGAAUAUUGGACAAUGGACCAAAAGUCUGAUCCAGCAAUUCUGUGUGCACGAUGAAGGUCUUCGGAUUGUAAAGUGCUUUCAGUUGGGAAGAAGCAAGUGACGGUACCAACAGAAGAAGCGACGGCUAAAUACGUGCCAGCAGCCGCGGUAAUACGUAUGUCGCAAGCGUUAUCCGGAUUUAUUGGGCGUAAAGCGCGUCUAGGCGGAAAAAUAAGUCUGAUGUUAAAAUGCGGGGCUCAACUCCGUAUUGCGUUGGAAACUGUUUUUCUAGAGUACUGGAGAGGUGGGCGGAACUACAAGUGUAGAGGUGAAAUUCGUAGAUAUUUGUAGGAAUGCCGAUGGAGAAGUCAGCUCACUGGACAGANACUGACGCUAAAGC